This 427-nucleotide ribosomal RNA is filed under the name uncultured beta proteobacterium. Its description in RNAcentral is "bacterial SSU rRNA". It matches the Rfam family "Bacterial small subunit ribosomal RNA", at positions 355 to 774 of the family's 1533-position model. Lineage: Bacteria; Pseudomonadati; Pseudomonadota; Betaproteobacteria. The record is from RNAcentral.
UGGGGAAUUUUGGACAAUGGGCGAAAGCCUGAUCCAGCCAUGCCGCGUGAGUGAAGAAGGCCUUCGGGUUGUAAAGCUCUUUUAGUCGGAAAGAAAGAGUUGCAAUGAGUAAUUGUGAUUUAUGACGGUACCGACAGAAAAAGCACCGGCUAACUACGUGCCAGCAGCCGCGGUAAUACGUAGGGUGCGAGCGUUAGUCGGAAUUACUGGGCGUAAAGGGUGCGCAGGCGGUCUUGCAAGUCAGAUGUGAAAGCCCCGGGCUUAACCUGGGAAUUGCGUUUGAAACUACAAGACUAGAGUGCAGCAGAGGGGAGUGGAAUUCCAUGUGUAGCAGUGAAAUGCGUAGAGAUGUGGAAGAACACCGAUGGCGAAGGCAGCUCCCUGGGUUGACACUGACGCUCAUGCACGAAAGCGUGGGGAGCAAACA